AUUCAUGAUCCCUGGUGAGACAGCUCCCAUCUCGUUACGCCAUUCAUGCAGGUCGGUAUUUAACCGACAAGGAAUUUCGCUACCUUAGGACCGUUAUAGUUACGGCCGCCGUUUACUCGGGCUUCAAUUCAAAGCUUCGCAUUGCUGCUAACUAAUCCUCUUAACCUUCGAGCACCGGGCAGGCGUCACACCUUAUACUUCCUCUUACGAGUUUGCAAAGUGCUGUGUUUUUGGUAAACAGCCGGGAGGGACUCUUUGCUGAGACCUACUUGCGUAGGCACACCUUAUCGCGAACUUACGGUGCUAGUUUGCAGAGUUCCUUAACCAGAGUUCUUUCACGCGCCUUAGAAUACUCAUCUCAUCUACCUGUGUCGGUUUGCGGUACGGGCAACAUUAGCUAAACUUAGAGGCUUUUCUUGGCACGACGGCGUCAGUAGCACUCAUCUUGAUCCGAAGAUCGCAACAAGCUAUUCAAGUUUCGAAUACAAGAGCGGAUUUGCCAAUCUCUCAAUCUACACUUUUAAAUUAGCUAUUCCAUCAGCUAACGCUACUUAGCCCUAUGCGUCCCCCCCAUCGCACACUAAUGUUGGUAUGGGAAUAUUAACCCAUUUGCCAUCGACUACCCCUUUCGGACUUGUCUUAGGACCCGACUAACCCUACGAUGACGAGCAUCGCGUAGGAAACCUUAGACUUUCGGCGAAGUGGAUUCUCACCACUUUUAUCGCUACUCAUUCCUGCAUGCUCACUUCGCAUCGCUCCACCACUCCUUGCCGGUAUGGCUUCAACGCUGAUACGAACGCUCUUCUACCACUGUGCAUCAGCACAAUCUACAACUUCGGUGUCUAUCUUAGCCCCGUUAUAUUUUCUGCGCAAAAUCACUAGACCAGUGAGCUGUUACGCUUUCUUUAAAGGAUGGCUGCUUCUAAGCCAACCUCCUGGUUGUCUGAGUAACUUCACAUCAUUUUCCACUUAGAAUAGAACUUUGGGACCUUAGUUGGUAGUCUGGGUUGUUCCCCUUUUGACGAUUGAUUUUAUCACCCACCGCCUGACUCCCAAGAUACGGUAAUAGGUAUUCGAAGUUUGACAGGGGUUGGUACCGCGGUGAGCAGCCCUAGCCCAAUCAGAGCUCUACCCCCUAUUACUAUCACUUGAGGCUAUACCUAAAUAUAUUUCGAAGAGAACCAGCUAUCACCAAGUUUGUUUGGCCUUUCACCCCUAUCCACAGCUCAUCCCAACCCGUUUCAAUGGGUACGAGUUCAGUCCUCCACGAGCUAUUACACUCGCUUCAACUUGGCCAUGGAUAGAUCACUUGGCUUCGGGUCUGCAGCAUCUGACUAAACGCCCUUUCAGACUCGCUUUCGCUACGGCUUCGCGUGUGCUUAACCUUGCAGAAAC
Molecule: ribosomal RNA, 1395 nt
Filed under: uncultured Helicobacter sp.
Lineage: Bacteria; Pseudomonadati; Campylobacterota; Epsilonproteobacteria; Campylobacterales; Helicobacteraceae
Description: partial 23S ribosomal RNA
Source: RNAcentral